GAGUUUGAUCCUGGCUCAGGAUGAACGCCGGCGGUGUGCCUAAUACAUGCAAGUCGUACGCACUGGCCCAACUGAUUAAUGGUGCUUGCACCUGAUUGACGAUGGAUCACCAGUGAGUGGCGGACGGGUGAGUAACACGUAGGUAACCUGCCCCGGAGCGGGGGAUAACAUUUGGAAACAGAUGCUAAUACCGCAUAACAACAAAAGCCACAUGGCUUUUGUUUGAAAGAUGGCUUUGGCUAUCACUCUGGGAUGGACCUGCGGUGCAUUAGCUAGUUGGUAAGGUAACGGCUUACCAAGGCGAUGAUGCAUAGCCGAGUUGAGAGACUGAUCGGCCACAAUGGAACUGAGACACGGUCCAUACUCCUACGGGAGGCAGCAGUAGGGGAUCUUCCACAAUGGGCGCAAGCCUGAUGGAGCAACACCGCGUGAGUGAAGAAGGGUUUCGGCUCGUAAAGCUCUGUUGUUAGAGAAGAACGUGCGUGAGAGCAACUGUUCACGCAGUGACGGUAUCUAACCAGAAAGUCACGGCUAACUACGUGCCAGCAGCCGCGGUAAUACGUAGGUGGCAAGCGUUAUCCGGAUUUAUUGGGCGUAAAGCGAGCGCAGGCGGUUUGAUAAGUCUGAUGUGAAAGCCUUUGGCUUAACCAAAGAAGUGCAUCGGAAACUGUCAGACUUGAGUGCAGAAGAGGACAGUGGAACUCCAUGUGUAGCGGUGAAAUGCGUAGA
Molecule: ribosomal RNA, 729 nt
Filed under: uncultured bacterium
Lineage: Bacteria
Description: bacterial SSU rRNA
Rfam family: Bacterial small subunit ribosomal RNA
Source: RNAcentral